CCUCUUUAACCAUAUGGACCAAGUAUUUUCUCUAUUGUUUCCUCAGGCUGUUGGACACCAAGCUCAUGGCCACUACGCAACCUUUCAAGGAGUUGAUCAACAUCACAUCUCUAGCAGAGCUGCAGAAACAGCUGAAAGAGAGCCCCUUCAAAUCUCCGAAAGUUGUAACGGCGGAGGGGUUCCCCAGCUACGAUACAGCCCAGGAACAGCUCCACGAGGCGGGCUACGAUGCCUAUAUCACUGGCCUCUGCUUCAUCUCCAUGGCCAACUACCUA
This is a long non-coding RNA of Salvelinus sp. IW2-2015, 275 nucleotides long. RefSeq lists it as uncharacterized. NCBI's taxonomy places the organism in Eukaryota, Metazoa, Chordata, Actinopteri, Salmoniformes, Salmonidae. The record is from RefSeq and is a predicted model, not a curated record.